Molecule: ribosomal RNA, 498 nt
Filed under: uncultured bacterium
Lineage: Bacteria
Description: partial 16S ribosomal RNA
Rfam family: Bacterial small subunit ribosomal RNA
Source: RNAcentral
GAUGAACGCUGGCGGCGUGCCUAAUACAUGCCAGUCGAGCGAACAUUCGGGGGCUUUCUUCCAAAAGCGAGCGGCGCACGGGUGAGUAACACGUGGGUAACCUGCCCGUAAGACUGGGAUAACUUCGGGAAACCGGGGCUAAUACCGGAUAACAUUUAAUACCACAUGGCGUUCAAUUGAAAGGUGCGUUUUUGCUGCCACUUACAGAUGGAUCCGCGGCGCAUUAGCUAGUUGGUGAGGUAACGGCUUACCAAGGCGACGAUGCGUAGCCGACCUGAGAGGGUGGAUCGCCACACUGGGACUGGGACACGGCCCAGGCUUCCUAGGGAGGGAAGCAGAAGGGAACCUCCGGCAAUGGCGGAAGGCUUGCCGGAGAACGCCGGCGUGGGGAAGGAGGCCUUCGGGUCCGUAAGCUCCGGUGUUAGGGGAAAAACAGUUUUGUACGAAUAGGGCGACGGCUUGACGGUACCUAACCAGAAAGCCACGGCUAACUACGUG